AUUGAACGCUGGCGGAAUGCUUUACACAUGCAAGUCGAACGGCAGCACGGACUUCGGUCUGGUGGCGAGUGGCGAACGGGUGAGUAAUGAAUCGGAACGUGCCCAGUCGUGGGGGAUAACGUAGUGAAAAUUACGCUAAUACCGCAUACGAUCUAUGGAUGAAAGCGGGGGAUCGCAAGACCUCGCGCGAUUGGAGCGGCCGAUAUCCGAUUAGGUAGUUGGUGGGGUAAAGGCCCACCAAGCCAACGAUCUGUAGCUGGUCUGAGAGGACGACCAGCCACACUGGAAAUGAGACACGGUCCAGACUCCUACGGGAGGCAGCAGUGGGGAAUUUUGGACAAUGGGCGAAAGCCUGAUCCAGCCAUUCCGCGUGCAGGAUGAAGGCCCUCGGGUUGUAAACUGCUUUUGUACAGAACGAAAAGGUUUCUACUAAUACUAGGAGCUCAUGACGGUACUGUAAGAAUAAGCACCGGCUAACAACGUGCCAGCCGCCGCCGUAA
This 500-nucleotide ribosomal RNA is filed under the name uncultured bacterium. Its description in RNAcentral is "partial 16S ribosomal RNA". It matches the Rfam family "Bacterial small subunit ribosomal RNA", at positions 30 to 523 of the family's 1533-position model. The record is from RNAcentral.